UUAAAUGUAUAUUAGCUGAAUUUUAAUAUUUUCAAAAAAAAUAUCACAAUUAUUUUUAUUUAGUAAAAUAGAUUUUUAAAAUAUAGAUUAUCAAACGAGCUAUAUUAUCCUAUAUUAGUAAAAACAGUUUUUAAAAAUUGAAUAACCAAAUGAAUUUUUUUUAUUUUAUUUUCUCAAAUACAAAUUUACAAAAUAGAUUUGUAAAACAGAUUUUAAAAAUUAAAAUUGAGAAGAGAUCCAAACAGGCCCUUAGACUUCCAAUAUUUUUCCCUUGGAUUAACACUAGAUUUUAAAACAAACAUCUUCAUAGAGAGAUUAUAUUCAUAUUUCAUAGUGAUUCUUCCAUUUGAUGACAUGUUUGUCUUGAAAUUUCCUGAUAUUUUCAUUUUCGAAGGUUGAAUGGCGCAAGGAAUGUUGAACUUUGAAGCUUCUUCAACAAUGGCUAACAAAAACAAUGAAGAUGGGAUGGAUGGAGCAGACAAAACGGUGAACAAUGAAGAUGGGAUGGAUGGAGCAGACAAAACGGUGAAGAGGAAGGAAAGAGUGAGUUGAAAUUAGACUUUUGACUUUAAAUUGGAUUAAGUUUCAUUAAUUAAGGGACAAUUUGGUCAUUUUAAAAUGGUAAAUUACCACCUGUUAAAAAUUUAAAUGAAAAAUGUAUAAAUAUUAUAACAUAUUAAUGUCACAUCAGAUUUUUUGUUGAUUGAAUUAA
RNAcentral lists this long non-coding RNA (712 nucleotides) under Lathyrus oleraceus (garden pea). Its description in RNAcentral is "Pisum sativum (pea) long non-coding RNA (PSAT_LNC012917)". Lineage: Eukaryota; Viridiplantae; Streptophyta; Magnoliopsida; Fabales; Fabaceae. The record is from RNAcentral.